Molecule: ribosomal RNA, 459 nt
Filed under: uncultured bacterium
Lineage: Bacteria
Description: partial 16S ribosomal RNA
Rfam family: Bacterial small subunit ribosomal RNA
Source: RNAcentral
CCUACGGGAGGCUGCAGUGAGGAAUAUUGGUCAAUGGCCGGAAGGCUGAACCAGCCAAGCCGCGUGAAGGACGAAGGUGCCAAGCAUUGUAAACUUCUUUUGUCAAGGGACAAAAUCAGGCUCGAGAGCCUGACCGCGGGUACUUGAAGAAAAAGCAUCGGCUAACUCCGUGCCAGCAGCCGCGGUACUAGGGGGGAUGCGAGCGUUAUCCGGAUUUAUUGGGUUUAAAGGGUGCGUAGGGGGGCUGUUAAGUCAGCGGUAAAAGCCCGGGGCUAAACCCCGGCGAGCCGUUGAAACUGGCGGUCUUGAGAUGUCGAGAGGUAUGCGGAAUGCGCAGUGUAGCGGUGAAAUGCUUAGAGAUUGCGCAGAACUCCGAUUGCGAAGGCAGCAUACCGGCGGCGAUCUGACGCUGAGGCACGAAAGCGUGGGUAUCGAACAGGAUUAGAUACCCGAGUAGUC